GAUGAACGCUGGCGGCGUGCCUAAUACAUGCCAGUCGAGCGAACAGACGAGGAGCUUGCUCCUCUGACGUUAGCGGCGGACGGGUGAGUAACACGUGGAUAACCUACCUAUAAGACUGGGAUAACUUCGGGAAACCGGAGCUAAUACCGGAUAACAUGUUGAACCGCAUGGUUCAACAGUGAAAGACGGUCUUGCUGUCACUUAUAGAUGGAUCCGCGCCGCAUUAGCUAGUUGGUAAGGUAACGGCUUACCAAGGCAACGAUGCGUAGCCGACCUGAGAGCGUGAUCGGCCACACUGGAACUGAGACACGGUCCAGACUCCGACGGGAGGCAGCAGUAGGGAAUCUUACGCAAUGGGCGAAAGCCUGACGGAGCAACGCCGCGUGAGUGAAGAAGGUCUUCGGAUCGUUAAACUCUGUUAUUAGGGAAGAACAAAUGUGUAAGUAACUAUGCACGUCUUGACGGUACCUAAUCAGAAAGCCACGGCUAACUACGUG
RNAcentral lists this ribosomal RNA (497 nucleotides) under uncultured bacterium. Its description in RNAcentral is "partial 16S ribosomal RNA". It matches the Rfam family "Bacterial small subunit ribosomal RNA", at positions 28 to 507 of the family's 1533-position model. The record is from RNAcentral.